UACGGAGGGUGCAAGCGUUAUCCGGAUUCACUGGGUUUAAAGGGUGCGUAGGUGGGUUGGUAAGUCAGUGGUGAAAUCUCCGAGCUUAACUUGGAAACUGCCAUUGAUACUAUCAGUCUUGAAUACCGUGGAGGUCAGCGGAAUAUGUCAUGUAGCGGUGAAAUGCUUAGAUAUGACAUAGAACACCAAUUGCGAAGGCAGCUGACUACGCGAAUAUUGACACUGAUGCACGAAGGCGUGGGGAUCAAACAGG
Molecule: ribosomal RNA, 253 nt
Filed under: uncultured bacterium
Lineage: Bacteria
Description: partial 16S ribosomal RNA
Rfam family: Bacterial small subunit ribosomal RNA
Source: RNAcentral